CCCUUCGGGGUGUGACUGCGUACCUUUUGUAUAAUGGGUCAGCGACUUAUAUUCUGUAGCAAGGUUAACCGUAUAGGGGAGCCGGAGGGAAACCGAGUCUUAACCGGGCGUUAAGUUGCAGGGUAUAGACCCGAAACCCGGUGAUCUAGCCAUGGGCAGGUUGAAGGUUGGGUAACACUAACUGGAGGACCGAACCGACUAAUGUUGAAAAAUUAGCGGAUGACCUGUGGCUGGGGGUGAAAGGCCAAUCAAACCGGGAGAUAGCUGGUUCUCCCCGAAAGCUAUUUAGGUAGCGCCUCGUGAAUUCAUCUCCGGGGGUAGAGCACUGUUUCGGCUAGGGGGCCAUCCCGGCUUACCAACCCGAUGCAAACUGCGAAUACCGGAGAAUGUUAUCACGGGAGACACACGGCGGGUGCUAACGUCCGUCGUGAAGAGGGAAACAACCCAGACCGCCAGCUAAGGUCCCAAAGUCAUGGUUAAGUGGGAAACGAUGUGGGAAGGCCCAGACAGCCAGGAUGUUGGCUUAGAAGCAGCCAUCAUUUAAAGAAAGCGUAAUAGCUCACUGGUCGAGUCGGCCUGCGCGGAAGAUGUAACGGGGCUAAACCAUGCACCGAAGCUGCGGCAGCGAACGUAUCACCCAAGACAACUUUACGGAGUUGACGAUUGACGGAGCGAAGCGACGUCAAAGCGUUCAUUAAAGUCGAGUUGGCUUAGGGAUACGUUCGUUGGGUAGGGGAGCGUUCUGUAAGCCUGUGAAGGUGUGUCGUGAGGCAUGCUGGAGGUAUCAGAAGUGCGAAUGCUGACAUAAGUAACGAUAAAGCGGGUGAAAAGCCCGCUCGCCGGAAGACCAAGGGUUCCUGUCCAACGUUAAUCGGGGCAGGGUGAGUCGACCCCUAAGGCGAGGCCGAAAGGCGUAGUCGAUGGGAAACGGGUUAAUAUUCCCGUACUUGGUGUUACUGCGAAGGGGGGACGGAGAAGGCUAUGUUGGCCGGGCGACGGUUGUCCCGGUUUAAGCGUGUAGGUGUGUGUUCCAGGUAAAUCCGGUUCACUUUAACACUGAGGCGUGACGACGAGGCACUACGGUGCUGAAGCAACAAAUGCCCUGCUUCCAGGAAAAGCCUCUAAGCAUCAGGUAACAUCAAAUCGUACCCCAAACCGACACAGGUGGUCAGGUAGAGAAUACCAAGGCGCUUGAGAGAACUCGGGUGAAGGAACUAGGCAAAAUGGUGCCGUAACUUCGGGAGAAGGCACGCUGACACGUAGGUGAAGUGAUUUACUCAUGGAGCUGAAGUCAGUCGAAGAUACCAGCUGGCUGCAACUGUUUAUUAAAAACACAGCACUGUGCAAACACGAAAGUGGACGUAUACGGUGUGACGCCUGCCCGGUGCCGGAAGGUUAAUUGAUGGGGUCAGCGUAAGCGAAGCUCCUGAUCGAAGCCCCGGUAAACGGCGGCCGUAACUAUAACGGUCCUAAGGUAGCGAAAUUCCUUGUCGGGUAAGUUCCGACCUGCACGAAUGGCGUAAUGAUGGCCAGGCUGUCUCCACCCGAGACUCAGUGAAAUUGAACUCGCUGUGAAGAUGCAGUGUACCCGCGGCAAGACGGAAAGACCCCGUGAACCUUUACUAUAGCUUGACACUGAACAUUGAGCCUUGAUGUGUAGGAUAGGUGGGAGGCUUUGAAGUGUGGACGCCAGUCUGCAUGGAGCCGACCUUGAAAUACCACCCUUUAAUGUUUGAUGUUCUAACGUGGACCCGUAAUCCGGGUUGCGGACAGUGUCUGGUGGGUAGUUUGACUGGGGCGGUCUCCUCCUAAAGAGUAACGGAGGAGCACGAAGGUUGGCUAAUCCUGGUCGGACAUCAGGAGGUUAGUGCAAUGGCAUAAGCCAGCUUGACUGCGAGCGUGACGGCGCGAGCAGGUGCGAAAGCAGGUCAUAGUGAUCCGGUGGUUCUGAAUGGAAGGGCCAUCGCUCAACGGAUAAAAGGUACUCCGGGGAUAACAGGCUGAUACCGCCCAAGAGUUCAUAUCGACGGCGGUGUUUGGCACCUCGAUGUCGGCUCAUCACAUCCUGGGGCUGAAGUAGGUCCCAAGGGUAUGGCUGUUCGCCAUUUAAAGUGGUACGCGAGCUGGGUUUAGAACGUCGUGAGACAGUUCGGUCCCUAUCUGCCGUGGGCGCUGGAGAACUGAGGGGGGCUGCUCCUAGUACGAGAGGACCGGAGUGGACGCAUCACUGGUGUUCGGGUUGUCAUGCCAAUGGCACUGCCCGGUAGCUAAAUGCGGAAGAGAUAAGUGCUGAAAGCAUCUAAGCACGAAACUUGCCCCGAGAUGAGUUCUCCCUGAGACUUAGAGUCUCCUGAAGGAACGUUGAAGACGACGACGUUGAUAGGCCGGGUGUGUAAGCGCAGCGAUGCGUUGAGCUAACCGGUACUAAUGAACCGUGAGGCUUAACCUUACA
This 2452-nucleotide ribosomal RNA is filed under the name Salmonella enterica subsp. enterica serovar Typhimurium. RNAcentral's name for it is "partial 23S ribosomal RNA". It matches the Rfam family "Bacterial large subunit ribosomal RNA", at positions 582 to 2925 of the family's 2925-position model. The record is from RNAcentral. Lineage: Bacteria; Pseudomonadati; Pseudomonadota; Gammaproteobacteria; Enterobacterales; Enterobacteriaceae.